RNAcentral lists this ribosomal RNA (377 nucleotides) under uncultured bacterium. Its description in RNAcentral is "bacterial SSU rRNA". It matches the Rfam family "Bacterial small subunit ribosomal RNA", at positions 28 to 405 of the family's 1533-position model. The record is from RNAcentral.
GAUGAACGCUAGCGGCAGGCCUAAUACAUGCAAGUCGAACGGUAAGGCCCUUUCGGGGGUACACGAGUGGCGGACGGGUGCGUAACGCGUAUGCAACAUGCCUUCCAGCGGGGGAUAUACCAGGGAAACUUGGCGCAAUACCCCAUAGAAUUACGGGACCGCAUGGUCUUGUGAUUAAAACUCCGGUGCUGGGAGAUUGGCAUGCGUGACAUUAGCUAGUUGGCGGGGUAACGGCCCACCAAGGCGACGAUGUCUAGCUGGUCUGAGAGGAUGAUCAGCCACACUGGGACUGAGACACGGCCCAGACUCCUACGGGAGGCAGCAGUAGGGAAUAUUGGACAAUGGGGGGGAACCCUGAUCCAGCCAUGCCGCGUGGA